AUGUCUGCCCAUAUCUCAUCCCCAGCCACAGAGCGGGAGAGAGGCGGUUUUGAGGGAACUCGCCUGGUGAUUUUUCGGGGGACCAGGGGAGGUCGCCGAGGAGGGAGUGGCCGAGAGGAGAUUCAGCAUCGCUCUCAACCAUGGCCCCCCUUUGACCCGGGGCUCCUGGGGAAUGGGUCAGAGCCACCGUCUCACCAUGGCGAGCGGAGAGGUGAGAGGAAGCACACGCCCGCCAUGGUGGCGUCACUGCCCAUGAUGGCCAUCAGCUCAGAGCCUACGCCCAAGAUGGCCGCUGACUCAUUUUUGGAGUAUUUCUCCAGGCUGUCACAGACCCUGGAGGUUCCCAAGACUGGUCACAUCAAAGCUGCUGAGCCAGCACCACAACACAAGAUGGCCGCCAGCCCUGCGCCACAGCACAAGAUGGCCGCCAGCCCUGCGCCACAGCACAAGAUGGCCGCCAGCCCUGCGCCACAGCACAAGAUGGCCGCCAGCCCUGCGCCACAGCGGUGCAUGGCCACCAACCCCGCACCACGAGGCAGGAGGGAGGCCGGCCUCACACCUCAGUACCAGAUGGCCAUCAGCUCAGAGCCUACACCCAAGAUGGCCGCUGACUCAUUUUUGGAGUAUUUCUCCAGCCUGUCACAGACCCUGGAGGUUCCCAAGACUGGUCACAUCAAAGCUGCUGAGCCAGCACCACAACACAAGAUGGCCGCCAGCCCAGCGCCACAGCACAAGAUGGCCGCCAGCCCUGCGCCACAGCACAAGAUGGCCGCCAGCCCUGCGCCACAGCGCAAGAUGGCUGACUCAACGCCUGAGUCUUCCGUCAAGGAGCCACCGACUCGCCAUCAUAGAGGGCGGAGGAGGAGGAGACAGGCGUCUGCCGUUCCUCAAAGCCCGGAGGACGUUCCCGAGCGGGCCGCUGUCGUCCAGGAGGACGUUCCCGAGCGGGCCGCUGCCGUCCAGGAGGACGUUCCCGAGCGGGCCGCUGCCGUCCAGGAGGACGUGCCAGAGGUUCCCGAGGCGGGGCUCGAGGUGGUUCUGGAGGCCGAGGCGGUGCCCGAUGCUGUGCCCGAUGCCGAGGCGGUGCCCGAGGCUGUGCCCGAUGCCGAGGCGGUGCCCGAGCCGGUGCCGGGGGCCGAGGCGGUGCCCGAUGCCGUUCCGGAGGUCGAGGCGGUGCCCGAUGCCGUGGCGGUGCCUGAUGCGGUGGCCGAGGUGGUUCCCGAUGCCGAGGCGGUGCCCGAUGCGGUGCCAGAGACGGUGCCAGAGACGGUUCCCGAUGUAAUGCCCGAGACUGAGGCUGUUCCGGAGGUCGAGGCGAUGGCCGAUGCCGAGACGGUGCCCGAUGCAAUGUCCGAUGCCGAGGCAGUGCCCGAUGCCGAGGCGGUGCCCGUUGCCGAGGCGGUGCCCGAUGCCGAGGCGGUGCCCGAUGCGGUGCCAGAGACGGUGCCAGAGACGGUGCCAGAGACGGUUCCCGAUGUAAUGCCCGAGACUGAGGCUGUUCCGGAGGUCGAGGCGGUGCCCGAUGUUGUUCCCGAUGCCGAGGCGGUGCCCGAUGCAGAGGUCGUUCCCGAGGCGGUGUCCUUGUCCAAGGCCGUUCCCGAGGCCGUUCCUGAGGCGGUGCCCGAUGCUGAGGCCGUUCCCGAGGUGGUGCCCGAUGCCGAGGCCGUUCCCGAGGCGGCGGCGGGCGCCGCUCACGACUCUCCCGAAGUCCCCGAGGCGGCGGACGCCACUCACGACUCUCCCGAGUCUCCCGAAGUCCCCGAGGCGGCGGUGGCCGUUCACGACUCUCCCGAAGUCCCCGAGGCGGCGGACGCCGCUCACGACUCUCCCGAGUCCCCGAGGCGGCGCCGGGUGCCGCUCACGAUUCCCCCGUGGCGGCGGCGGGUGCCGCUCACGAGUCCCCCGAGGCGGCGGCGGGUGCCGCUCACGACUCACAGAGGCGGCAGUGGCCGCUCGGAAAGAGCCAGAGGCGAAGGUGUCCGCUCACGAUCCCGGUUUUGCCCUGGGUUCCCACUCCACCGGCUCUGCCUCAGUCACCUGGUCCCCCUCCAGCACACGGACCUCUCCUCUGGGUGGGGGGCCGCUGGAACGUCUGGAAUCCGUUCCUUAGAGGGGGGUCCUGUCAUGAGUCCGGACCCGGGGUUUCUCCUUCUCACCACCAGAGGGCGCCACUUCCAUUCUCCCGGACUCAUUACCGUCACUCUGCACACCUGGUUUACUCGACACACCUGUUUCACCCACUCACACGCACACACCUGGUGCCUAUUGUCACGGACUAUAUAGUUUUGUCUCACCCACCACUCUGCCUGGCUGUAUUGUUUAUUGUUAAUUGUUAGUCGAAUUCCGAGGUGUAUGCGUGUUAUCUGUUUCCUUUUUGUUUUUGCCCUGUUGGCCUUUUUGUUCUUAUUAAAGUGAUAAUUUCCCUGCAUUUGGACCCAGACCCUGUUUCUUCCACGGCGCUCUUUACCGCGCCGUGACAAUGUUGUUUACAUUAACUUUAAGAAAAGAAAUAAGACUGUUUGAAAAAGGAACUUUGAUUAUUAAAUUAGUUUUUAAAAGAGGUAAAUUAUCAUUUCAAAUUUAAUAUGGGUUUGAAUAGAUUCAGUCAGAUGGCCAGUUUACAACCAGACGGUGCAUCUUACUCAUCGACUCGGGUCAACUUACCCUCACCCUGGGGCAAACUGAGCCAUGGGAACACUUUUUUAUAAGAAGCCAUAUUUUUAGAACCCUUUGUCAUAGAUACAUCCUGAUCAGUGGUGUAAUGUAACGAAGUAAUAAUACUUUGUUACAGUACUUAAAUAUUUUUUGGGAUUGUCUGUACUUUACUUGAGUUUUUAUAUUUCAGGCAACUUUUACAUUUACUCCACUACAUUUCCUAAUUAAAAUGUAUAAUUUUACUUUGAUACAUUUACCCGAAGCAUAUUCGUUACCUGCUACAAAACAGUCAGAAGAACACGGACUGCAGGAAAGCAGGUUUGAUGAAUCAGUGGUCUGGCAUCUGCAAGUUAGAUUCCUAAAAUCUAGCUCUGCUCACGUGCAAACAAGUGCGUGCACAACCGCGAAUAAUUUCAUUUUCCACUCAAGUCGAGUCUGGGGUGUGCGAUAAUAUGGUAAGUGUUGUUGUAAUGAUGUGCGAUCUGACAUUAUCGAGUAUAUCACCAAAUCACACACAGAGAGUGCAUGCAGUGAUUUAUUAGUCUAUUAAAAUUCAAAAUUCAAGGCAUUCUAAAUUGUACAUGGCAAAAUGCUUCUGUAUGCUUUUUAUUUUUAUAAAAUAAAAAUAUAGUUAACAAUCUAUAUCACACAAUGAG
Cyprinus carpio carpio is the source of this 3311-nucleotide long non-coding RNA. Lineage: Eukaryota; Metazoa; Chordata; Actinopteri; Cypriniformes; Cyprinidae. The record is from Ensembl.